GGCGAUCAGAUACCGCCCUAGUUCUGACCGUAAACGAUGCCAACUAGCGAUCCGCCGGUGGAUUUUUAGCCCUGGUGGGUAGCUUCCCGGAAACGAAAGUCUUCCGGUUCCGGGGGAAGUAUGGUUGCAAAGCUGAAACUUAAAGGAAUUGACGGAAGGGCACCACCAGGAGUGGAGCCUGCGGCUUAAUUUGACUCAACACGGGGAAACUCACCCGGCCCGGACACCGUAAGGAUUGACAGAUUGAUAGCUCUUUCAUGAUUCGGUGGUUGGUGGUGCAUGGCCGUUCUUAGUUCGUGGAUCGAUUUGUCUGGUUUAUUCCGAUAACGAGCGAGACUCUAGCCUACUAAAUAGCUGCGGGAUUAUCAUUGUCCCGCCGGCUUCUUAGAGGGAUUUUCGGUGUUUAGCCGCACGAGAUUGAGCAAUAACAGGUCUGUGAUGCCCUUAGAUGUCCGGGGCUGCACGCGCGCUACACUGGCGAAAUCAGCGUGCUGUAUCCAUUCUCGAAAGGGAUUGGUAAACCCAUGAAAAUUUGCCGUGCUUGGGAUCGGAAAUUGCAAUUAUUUUCCGUGAACGAGGAAUUCCAAGUAAGUGCGAGUCAUCAACUCGCUCUGAUUACGUCCCUGCCCUUUGUACACACCGCCCGUCGCUGCCCGGGACUGAGCCAUUUCGAGAAGAUCAGAGACUGGUGCCUUGUGGCCUCUUCGGAGGUUCGAGGUGUUGGAAACUGAUUUGAUCGCAGUGGCUUGAACCGGGCAAAAGUCGUAACAAGGUAGCCGUAGGUGAACCUGCGGCUGGAUCAUUAUCGAGCAAACAACACAAACACGCUAGGGCUUCGGCUCUAGUAGGGGUAGGAUUGAUGUGCGGGGCAUUUGAGCUGAUGCCCGUCUGCACGCCCCACCAACAAACGGCGAAGGUUGGUGUCUGCGUGGUCGCUGAGCGGAUGUUGCCUGAAUGCCGUGUCCGUGUCGAGGCUUCCACACUACGCAUACGUCCUGCUAGUUCAGGGUAGCGAAUGCGCAGACUUAAUGAGCUCCGGCCUGGGAGCCGCCAACCAAAACGAUUCUAACGAAUUUCUCUUACGAGAGACGAAUAUCAGUCUUACCGGUGGAU
Molecule: ribosomal RNA, 1113 nt
Filed under: Acrobeloides maximus
Lineage: Eukaryota; Metazoa; Nematoda; Chromadorea; Rhabditida; Cephalobidae
Description: bacterial SSU rRNA
Rfam family: Eukaryotic small subunit ribosomal RNA (bases 1-805)
Source: RNAcentral